This 497-nucleotide ribosomal RNA is filed under the name uncultured bacterium. RNAcentral describes it as "partial 16S ribosomal RNA". It matches the Rfam family "Bacterial small subunit ribosomal RNA", at positions 28 to 507 of the family's 1533-position model. The record is from RNAcentral.
GACGAACGCUGGCGGCGUGCCUAAUACAUGCCAGUAGAACGCUGAAGCGAGGAGCUUGCUCUUCUUGGAUGAGUUGCGAACGGGUGAGUAACGCGUAGGUAACCUGCCUUGUAGCGGGGGAUAACUAUUGGAAACGAUAGCUAAUACCGCAUAACAAUGGAUGACACAUGUCAUUUAUUUGAAAGGGGCAAUUGUUCCACUACAAGAUGGACCUGCGUUGUAUUAGCUAGUAGGUGAGGUAAUGGCUCACCUAGGCGACGAUACAUAGCCGACCUGAGAGGGUGAUCGGCCACACUGGGACUGAGACACGGCCCAGACUCCUACGGGAGGCAGCAGUAGGGAAUCUUCGGCAAUGGGGGCAACCCUGACCGAGCAACGCCGCGUGAGUGAAGAAGGUUUUCGGAUCGUAAAGCUCUGUUGUAAGUCAAGAACGGGUGUGAGAGUGGAAAGUUCACACUGUGACGGUAGCUUACCAGAAAGGGACGGCUAACUACGUG